AAGGUGGCGAUCAACGGGUUCGGGCGCAUCGGGCGCAACUUCCUGCGGUGCUGGCACGGGCGCGGCGACAGCUCGCCGCUGGAGGUGAUCGCCAUCAACGACACCGGAGGCGUGAAGCAGGCGUCCCACCUCCUCAAGUACGACUCCACGCUGGGCAUCUUCGACGCGGACGUCAAGCCCGUGGGCGACAACGCCAUCUCCGUCGACGGCAAGGUGAUCAAGGUCGUGUCCGACCGCAACCCCUCCAACCUGCCGUGGGGCGAGAUGGGCAUCGACCUCGUCAUCGAGGGCACCGGCGUCUUCGUCGACCGCGCCGGCGCGGGCAAGCAUCUCGAGGCCGGAGCCAAGAAGGUGCUCAUCACCGCGCCCGGCAAGGGCGACAUCCCCACCUACGUCUGCGGCGUCAACGCCGACCUCUACACCCACGCCGACACCAUCAUCAGCAACGCCUCAUGCACCACCAACUGCCUCGCCCCCUUCGUCAAGGUCCUCGACCAAAAGUUCGGUACGUGCCCGUCUCCCUCCCUCUCUCUCUCUCUCAACUGAAUCAACUUGUUGACGAUGACUAAUGGCGGCGGUGGCAAUGGCGCAGGC
Molecule: long non-coding RNA, 594 nt
Filed under: Hordeum vulgare
Lineage: Eukaryota; Viridiplantae; Streptophyta; Magnoliopsida; Poales; Poaceae
Description: long non-coding RNA (HVUL_LNC020883)
Source: RNAcentral